GGCCGAAUAGCUCAGUUGGUUAGAGCGUCGAGCUAAUAUGAGCUUAUUACUCGAAGGUCUUGGGUUCGACCCCCACUUUGGCCA
This is a non-coding RNA of Hysterangium stoloniferum, 84 nucleotides long. Lineage: Eukaryota; Fungi; Basidiomycota; Agaricomycetes; Hysterangiales; Hysterangiaceae. The record is from the annotation of a GenBank genome assembly.